Molecule: ribosomal RNA, 492 nt
Filed under: uncultured bacterium
Lineage: Bacteria
Description: partial 16S ribosomal RNA
Rfam family: Bacterial small subunit ribosomal RNA
Source: RNAcentral
AGUGAACGCUGGCGGUAGGCCUAACACAUGCAAGUCGAACGGCAGCACAGUAAGAGCUUGCUCUUACGGGUGGCGAGUGGCGGACGGGUGAGGAAUACAUCGGAAUCUACUUUUUCGUGGGGGAUAACGUAGGGAAACUUACGCUAAUACCGCAUACGACCUACGGGUGAAAGCAGGGGAUCUUCGGACCUUGCGCGAUUGAAUGAGCCGAUGUCGGAUUAGCUAGUUGGCGGGGUAAAGGCCCACCAAGGCGACGAUCCGUAGCUGGUCUGAGAGGAUGAUCAGCCACACUGGAACUGAGACACGGUCCAGACUCCUACGGGAGGCAGCAAUGGGGAAUAUUGGACAAUGGGCGCAAGGCUGAUCCAGCCAUACCGCGUGGGUGAAGAAGGCCUUCGGGUUGUAAAGCCCUUUUGUUGGGAAAGAAAAGCAGCAGGUUAAUACCCCGCUGUUCUGACGGUACCCAAAGAAUAAGCACCGGCUAACUUCGUG